GGCUGGUGAAUUACCAGAUCUCCGUCAAGUGCAGUAACCAGUUCAAGUUGGAAGUGUGUCUUUUGAAUGCAGAAAACAAAGUCGUGGACAACCAGGCUGGGACCCAGGGCCAGCUGAAGGUGCUGGGUGCCAACCUCUGGUGGCCGUACCUGAUGCACGAACACCCCGCCUACCUGUACUCGUGGGAGGAUGGUGAUUGCUCACACCAAAGCCUUGGACCCCUCCCAGCCUGUGACCUUUGGGACCAACUCCACCUACGCAGCAGACAAGGGGGCUCUGUAUGUGGAUGUGAUCCGUGUGAACAGCUACUACUCUUGGUAUCGCAACUACGGGCACCUGGAGUUGAUUCGGCUGCAGCUGGCCGCCCAGUUUGAGAAUUGGUGUAAGACAUCACAAUCCCAUUAUUCAGAGCGCGUAUGGAGUGGAAACGCUUGUAGGGCUUCACCAGGAUCCACCUCUGAUGUUCAGUGAAGAGGACCAGAAAAGUCUGCUAGAGCAGUACCAUCUGGGUCUGGAUCAAAAACGCAGAAAAUACGUGGUUGGAGAGCUCAUCUGGAAUUUUGCCGAUUUCAUGACUAACCAGU
This 584-nucleotide long non-coding RNA is filed under the name Homo sapiens (human). RNAcentral describes it as "non-protein coding lnc-GTF2H2-7:5". Lineage: Eukaryota; Metazoa; Chordata; Mammalia; Primates; Hominidae. The record is from RNAcentral.